Molecule: ribosomal RNA, 253 nt
Filed under: uncultured bacterium
Lineage: Bacteria
Description: partial 16S ribosomal RNA
Rfam family: Bacterial small subunit ribosomal RNA
Source: RNAcentral
UACGGAGGGUGCAAGCGUUAUCCGGAUUCACUGGGUUUAAAGGGUGCGUAGGUGGGUUGGUAAGUCAGUGGUGAAAUCUCCAGGCUUAACUUGGAAACUGCCAUUGAUACUAUCAAUCUUGAAUACCGUGGAGGUCAGCGGAAUAUGUCAUGUAGCGGUGAAAUGCUUAGAUAUGACAUAGAACACCAAUUGCGAAGGCAGCUGGCUAGACGAAUAUUGACACUGAUGCACGAAAGCGUGGGGAUCAAACAGG